CGCUGGCGGCGUGCCUAAUACAUGCAAGUCGAACGGUCUUUCUAUGGAAGCUUGCUUCCACUGAGAAGAUAGUGGCGAACGGGUGAGUAACACGUGGGUAACCUGCCCAUAAGAGGGGGAUAACAUCCGGAAACGGGUGCUAAUACCGCAUAGUUUUCUUGAUUGCAUGAUCGGGAAAGGAAAGACGGCCUUUGUGCUGUCGCUUAUGGAUGGACCCGCGGCGUAUUAGUUAGUUGGUGAGGUAACGGCUCACCAAGACGAUGAUACGUAGCCGACCUGAGAGGGUGAUCGGCCACAUUGGGACUGAGACACGGCCCAAACUCCUACGGGAGGCAGCAGUAGGGAAUCUUCCGCAAUGGACGAAAGUCUGACGGAGCAACGCCGCGUGAGUGAAGAAGGUUUUUCCGGAUCGUAAAACUCUGUUGUCAGAGAAGAACAAGUUGGAGAGUAACUGCUCCAGCCUUGACGGUAUCUGACCAGAAAGCCACGGCUAACUACGUGCCAGCAGCCGC
This 512-nucleotide ribosomal RNA is filed under the name uncultured bacterium. RNAcentral describes it as "bacterial SSU rRNA". It matches the Rfam family "Bacterial small subunit ribosomal RNA", at positions 34 to 518 of the family's 1533-position model. The record is from RNAcentral.